RNAcentral lists this ribosomal RNA (276 nucleotides) under uncultured bacterium. RNAcentral describes it as "partial 16S ribosomal RNA". It matches the Rfam family "Bacterial small subunit ribosomal RNA", at positions 79 to 354 of the family's 1533-position model. The record is from RNAcentral.
CUUUCUCCGCCGGCGACCGGCGCACGGGUGAGUAACACGUAUGCAACCUGCCCCCGUCAGGGGGACAACCCGCCGAAAGGCGGGCUAAACCCGCGUACAUGCCACCGGGGCAUCCCGGAGGCAGGAAAGGCUUCGGCCGGACAGGGAUGGGCAUGCGGCGCAUUAGGCAGUAGGCGGGGUAACGGCCCACCGAGGCGACGAUGCGUAGGGGUUCUGAGAGGAAGGCCCCCCACACUGGUACUGAGACACGGACCAGACUCCUACGGGAGGCAGCAG